This is a long non-coding RNA of Populus trichocarpa (black cottonwood), 748 nucleotides long. RefSeq lists it as uncharacterized. The record is from RefSeq and is a predicted model, not a curated record. The transcript has 3 exons. Lineage: Eukaryota; Viridiplantae; Streptophyta; Magnoliopsida; Malpighiales; Salicaceae.
UGAGAGCAAAUGAGAGAGUGAAGAUAGAGUUGAGAGAGUGAGAAAACGUGAGUGUGAGUAGAGAAAAAGAGAGAGCUGCAAUGGCAGCAGCCUUGCUGCCAUUGCAGCAGCUGUAAGAGCAGCAGAUGUAAUCUUUCUCCUCCAUGUAUCUCUAUGUCUAAUAAAAUGGACCUCUCCCGUGGAUGUAGGCGGAUUUGCCGAACCACGUAAAAUAUUGUGUCAGUGUGCUUUACCCUCUGAUGAGCAACUAUCAGUACACCCCCGGUCCGCGCAUGGGGGUGCCGGAAUCCCCAACAGUAUUGUGGAGAUUUGGCAUAGAGUUUUAAGAGAGGUGGGUUUCGGAAGGGUGUUGAAAACUGGAAAAAUUAAUAUGUGAGUUUUUCAAAGAGGAGAUCUGGUGUGAGAUCCCUAUGACUUGUGAUGCCAAGGAAGCUCUUUGAGUUGCAACAAUGGAGGUUUAGGAACUACCCCAAUGGAAUUAUUUCAAAGGAUCCAAGGUGUGUGUGUUGAUCAGGAUCCAAGGUGAAGACUUCAUAAAGAGAUUUGUUGAGCUUGAGGAUUCAAUCAUAACAAUAUUUUCCAAAUAAGUUUAUGCAGUUAAAGCACCAGCUAGGCACCCUGUUUAUCACAAUGCCAUUAUAAUUAUUUGGGAUUUUACUGACUGGAAUAUCCCUGAAUAUUCUAAAGAUUUUUUUGUAAAUCUAAUAUCAUUCGGUGUAGUAAAUACUUUUGUCGGCUUUGUAAGUAA